This is a non-coding RNA of Equus caballus (horse), 4213 nucleotides long. The record is from RefSeq and is a predicted model, not a curated record. Lineage: Eukaryota; Metazoa; Chordata; Mammalia; Perissodactyla; Equidae.
GACAAGCAGUGCCUUGUCCACGCCCAGGAUCUGAACCGGUGAACCCCGGGCCAUCGAAGCUGAGCGUGCGAACUUAACCCCUAUGCCACCGGGCUGGCCCCCCAAAUGACUUAAUUUUGUUAACUCAUUUUCUUCAAGCCCCCCAAAUUCAUCUUUUCUCCUUAGCAGAAAUGUCUUUUUGGAAGUUUGGGGAUGAAUUGAAGGGGGGAGAAAGUUAAAUGGGGGUAAGUUUACUGGAGUAAAGUAAACUUGAGGACAGGCAGCUGUGACCUCUGCAGGAAGGUUCUGGGGUGCUCGGGGAGGAAGUGAGUGUGAUGUAUGUAGUGGGUGUGUGUGGCAGGGUGGCUUCAGAAUGGCAUGUACUGUUCAGAGGCGGAAUUAACGCAUACCUAACUCCUUUUCAGCCUCCCCUUUACAAUGCGUGGGGGUUUUCAUGUAAAAUUUACCAGUCCAGUGCUUAGUCUGACACACCUUAGUCUGAAAAACUGGGGUGGCAUAAGGCAGAGGAACCUGUCCCCAUCUCCAAGACAAACAGGUUCUGUGGGCACAGACCGGUGCCUGACGACCAGGAAGGAAAGUCAGAUGGUCUCUUGUUCCAGGUCCAACUGGUAGUGGGAGACGGAUCCGGAAGAGGGGUUGACACCUCAGGUUUGUCCAGCAGUUUUGAGGUACCCCUGGCAGGCCCAGGCCAGGCACUCUUACUCUUACAGAAAGAAUCCUAUUCAGAAAACCCAAGAUGAUUAAGUCCAUGCUACAUCAUGGUGCUAACCUUUAAGACAAUCCUACAUUUUACAGAUGUAGAAUCCGACAGUUAAAGUAAAGUGACCGGGCCACAAUCACACAGCUUUUCAGUGGGGGACCAGGAUCCUAAGCCAGGUCUUUAGACACCGACAAGGAUAUAGAGUAUGUAACCGCACCCUGAUAGGACUAAUGCCAAUGGACUCCAACCCAGAUCCUGCUGCCUCAGCGCCGUCUUGGGUCAAGGUUACUGCCCUCCAUCCUUGAUGCCACGUGAAGGACCACGUAUGUAGCUAGCCCUGCCAACAGCCACAGCUGUACACAGCCCAGCCGGUGGCAUCCACAGACCCUGAGGAAUGAGCGCUCAGGCCCUCACCCCAGGCUUCCUUUGGCUGGAGGUGACUUUGUCCAUCAAAAUUCCUCUACCUAAUCCUUAAAUGGUUUUGGUUUCUAGUACUCAGUCUGAGACCCUCUUUUCUUCUGUGAUCUCAUCUACUCCCAUAGCUUCAAAUAUCAUGUAUACUUUUGAUUCUCAAUUUUAUAUCUCCAGCCCAGAUCUCUCAGCUGAGCUCCAGAUCCACUUUUUACUAUCCUUAAGCUCUCCACUAGGAUAGAUAUCUCACUCAGACUUCAAACUCAGUGAAUCCCGGAUUUACUUGAUAACGUAACUCAAAUCUUUUUCCCAUGUAACUCAGAUAUAUUUGAUUUUCUAUGUCCAGUGCCACCAUCCAUCACUCUCUCUCACUCGGACUGCUGCCUUCUCCUUCUAUUUGGUAUCCCUAUAUCCACACUGGCUCCCUGUAAGCCAUUCUCCACCCUUUCAGGAGCUUCCCAAAUCAAAUUGUUAACAUGGCUUUCAAAGCCCUGGGUGACUUAAUUCUUGCUCAUCUCUCCUCUUGCUCUCUCUGUUAUAACCAACCUCUUUUUCCUUCCCUGAUUCCUCUCAUCCUUCAGUUCUUAACAUAAUGUUCAUCUUCAGGGAAGUUUUCCCUUCUCCAGUUCGCUAGUGCCCCCUCCCAGAGGUCUCUAUACCCUUCCUCCAUGACACUUAUCCCAAAUGUAACUGGCACCAUUAUUUGUGAGACACUAGACUGUCAGUGCUGUGAGGCAUCUGUCUUGUUCUGCACGGUACUGUUAGCAUCUAACACGGACACAGCAUUCCAAAGUUUGUUGAAUGAAUGUCACUAUGCCUUAUGGCCCCCAUAUAGUAGGGCUCAAGAAAUGAAUCCUAUUUCUCUUUUUAUGCUUUCUUUACGUUGUCCUUUGAGAAUCCAGCCCUAUUUUGAGACUAGGCCACCCUACCACGUCAGACAGCUCUUGUUUUCUCUCUCACCUGGGUAGACCCAUUUUGCAUUGCAGCCUGGGGCUGAAGCCAGAAAAAAAGCUGGAACAUCCCAGACAUGUGAUAAAUAAAUGUUAAGCAAUAGGAUAUACUGGAGGAUCUGAGGAAGCCAUUUGGUGUAAAACUAAUUCGGCCUGAUCUUGGUUUUCCAAAAGGGCCUGAUGUGGCCGUUGAGCAUGCAUUGUCCAUCUGCUUUAAGUAUUUACCAUGUCCCAAAGACAAGAACAGUGCCCUUUAAGAUAAAGAAAGAUGUAACUUCCCCCCACAUGGGCGUGUCCCUAAGGGCAAGCAUCUCUCCCUAGGCUAGGGAUUGAUUGCUGACCUGUAGUGACCACCCAGCUGGAGACCACAGACCUGCUACCUGCUCUGUUCAUCACCUGCUGUGUGAAUCACUGUGCCAGCUAGGCAGUUUCAUGACUGUUGUAAAAGGGACAUUCCAAUCAUUAUGUGAUGCAUGCUGUUUGACGGUAUAUAACCGCUCUGUACACUCCCGCUUUUUUGGAGUGUUCCAUUCCUUUGUGAAAGGACUCUCCCAGGCUAUAUAGUCCUCAGAUCUGGCUUACAAUAAACUCACCCCAAUUUUGAUUUAUAGUUUGGUUACAGAUUAUUUGCGUCAACACAUGCCAGAGCUGAGCCCAGAGUAAGCUCAAUAAAAAUGUGUUAAAUCAAGUAAUGGAUGCCUGUGUCUGUGUGGCAGGCUGGUUUAGAAAGGUGUGUACUGCUUAGAGGUGAAAUUAAAGCAAUCCUAACUCCUUUUCAGUCAUCUCCUUUACAAAACACAGUCCAAACUGCUUUGCAGAUUCUCUCGUGUUCUCUGUCAGCAAGGGUUCCUGGUUCACCUCUUGCCAGCAUCUGUCUGUUGGUCCAGGCAAGGCUGUCUGUCCCUGACACAUGAAGGAAGGACUUGAUGAAGAAUCUACCAUAUGGUCAGCAGUGAAGCAGUGAUGGAAACUGCCCAUCCAAGCCGGCUUGGCUGGAAAAGCUAAUAUUUGUGGCGAACAUGAUGUAAUCUACAUAGACAUCAAAAUAUAAUGAUGCACACCUGAAACUUACGUAAUGCUAUAAACCAGUGUCACCUCAAAAAGAGGAGGAAAGCUGUGGUGUGGGAAACGGCUUCACUGUCAACAAAAAAAAGGACUCUCUCAGAGAAGCAUGGAAAAGACUGUAACAGAUACUCUGGGGUACAGGCUUCUGAUGUCACUGCUUACAUAACUUUAAGAUCAUACCACUGAACUGAAUAAUGAUUUCCAGAACUAAUGGAACCCAAGAUCAACAAAGACCUGGAUUUAUCACAUGGGACUGAGUGGACUGAUAAAGAACAACUAUGAUUUCUUCGACUUUUGCUCGGAAUACCGCUGGUUCUUCUAUGUUCUAUUUUUUUGGAUUUAAGGAACCCUUUUUCUCUUAACCUAUCUAUGACUUAGGGCAACUUAGUAAAUUAUAUCUUUGUAAACAAAAAUGAAACAUUUAUCUUUUCUCCCUGCCUGAUGCCUCCAAAAUUUGGAAACCCUUAUUGAAUAUUCUUAUUUUCAUGGCAAUAUAGUUAUUUGAGUAAGUUCAAUGAGAAUUUGUUCUCCUUGUAACGAGACACAAUUGGAAACACUGGCUCUAUCACCAAGGCUUUGACUGGAAUGUCCGACUUGAGAAUGAUGCGCGCAGAACCAGGUGUGACCAGUUUUAAGGGACUAAGGUUGACUUUAGGAGCCAGUGCCUACAAAGCCCUCCUGGACAACCGGCCUGGGACCAGGCUUACAGUGCUCCUACCUCACAAGUGCAUCAGGGCACCUACUUCCUCGCAGCCCCAAGACACUUAGGAUAUUUUGGGGACCUUGAGAAGGAAGAAUUCAUCCAAAUCUGUAGGUACCACAAGUGAAGUCUGAUGGUAAGUUCUUGGCUUGGCUUCCUAGCCUCAAGGCUUUUAAAAAUCCAAUCUGAGAUUCCUAUUAAAAGUUCCAGCAAAACAAACUUAAAAAGACCUAUGUUGUCAGUUACUAUUCUUGCUGAACUUACAUAAACAAUCAGGCCAAGUUUGAUGAGACUAGACUUGUCUUGUAAACAAAAAUAGUCUUACCUUGAUUAUCUUUGAUAAAAAUAGGAGGGAUUAUGAGAGAGAUCUUAUGCUUCAAUGGAAAA